This 773-nucleotide ribosomal RNA is filed under the name uncultured bacterium. RNAcentral's name for it is "bacterial SSU rRNA". It matches the Rfam family "Bacterial small subunit ribosomal RNA", at positions 35 to 807 of the family's 1533-position model. The record is from RNAcentral.
GCUGGCGGCAUGCCUAACACAUGCAAGUCGAACGGGGUUUAUAUGACGGAACUCUCCGGAGGGAAGAUAUAUAAACCUAGUGGCGGACGGGUGAGUAACGCGUGGGCAACCUGCCCUGUACCGGGGGACAACAGCCAGAAAUGGCUGCUAAUACCGCAUAAGCCUGCUGUGCCGCAUGGCACAGCAGGGAAAACCACGGUGGUACAGGAUGGGCCCGCGUCUGAUUAGUUAGUUGGCAGGGUAACGGCCUACCAAGACAACGAUCAGUAGCCGGCUUGAGAGAGUGGACGGCCACAUUGGGACUGAGACACGGCCCAGACUCCUGCGGGAGGCAGCAGUGGGGAAUAUUGCACAAUGGGGGGAACCCUGAUGCAGCAAUGCCGCGUGGGUGAAGAAGCCCUCCGGUGCGUAAACCCCUGUCAGCAGGGAAGAAAAUGACAGUACCUGACCAAGAAGCCCCGGCUAACUACGUGCCAGCAGCCGCGGUAAUACGUAGGGGGCAAGCGUUAUCCGGAUUUACUGGGUGUAAAGGGAGCGCAGGCGGCGUGGCAAGUCAGAUGUGAAAACCCGGGGCCCAACCCCGGGAGUGCAUUUGAAACUGCCAUGCUGGAGUGCCGGAGAGGUAAGCGGAAUUCCUAGUGUAGCGGUGAAAUGCGUAGAUAUUAGGAGGAACACCAGUGGCGGAGGCGGCUUACUGGACGGUAACUGACGCUGAGGCUCGAAAGCGUGGGGAGCAAACAGGAUUAGAUACCCUGGUAGUCCACGCCGUAAAC